UACGGGGGGGGCAAGCGUUGUUCGGAAUUACUGGGCGUAAAGCGCGUGUAGGCGGCUUUUCAAGUCGGACGUGAAAGCCCCAGGCUUAACCUGGGAAUUGCGCUCGAUACUGUUGAGCUAGAGUGUGGAAGGGGCUACUGGAAUUCCGUGUGUAGCGGUGAAAUUCGUAGAUAUUCGGAGGAACACCAGAAGCGAAGGCGGCCAACUGGCCCGAUACUGACGCUGAGGCGCGAAAGCGUGGGGAGCAAACAGG
Molecule: ribosomal RNA, 253 nt
Filed under: uncultured bacterium
Lineage: Bacteria
Description: partial 16S ribosomal RNA
Rfam family: Bacterial small subunit ribosomal RNA
Source: RNAcentral